Molecule: ribosomal RNA, 549 nt
Filed under: Staphylococcus sp.
Lineage: Bacteria; Bacillati; Bacillota; Bacilli; Caryophanales; Staphylococcaceae
Description: bacterial SSU rRNA
Rfam family: Bacterial small subunit ribosomal RNA
Source: RNAcentral
CCACACUGGAACUGAGACACGGUCCAGACUCCUACCGAGCAGUAGGGAAUCUUCCGCAAUGGGCGAAAGCCUGACGGAGCAACGCCGCGUGAGUGAUGAAGGUCUUCGGAUCGUAAAACUCUGUUGUUAGGGAAGAACAAAUUUGUUAGUAACUGAACAAGUCUUGACGGUACCUAACCAGAAAGCCACGGCUAACUACGUGCCAGCAGCCGCGGUAAUACGUAGGUGGCAAGCGUUAUCCGGAAUUAUUGGGCGUAAAGCGCGCGUAGGCGGUUUCUUAAGUCUGAUGUGAAAGCCCACGGCUCAACCGUGGAGGGUCAUUGGAAACUGGGAAACUUGAGUGCAGAAGAGGAGAGUGGAAUUCCAUGUGUAGCGGUGAAAUGCGCAGAGAUAUGGAGGAACACCAGUGGCGAAGGCGGCUCUCUGGUCUGUAACUGACGCUGAUGUGCGAAAGCGUGGGGAUCAAACAGGAUUAGAUACCCUGGUAGUCCACGCCGUAAACGAUGAGUGCUAAGUGUUAGGGGGUUUCCGCCCCUUAGUGCUGCAGCU